This is a non-coding RNA of Ictidomys tridecemlineatus (thirteen-lined ground squirrel), 69 nucleotides long. The record is from Rfam. Lineage: Eukaryota; Metazoa; Chordata; Mammalia; Rodentia; Sciuridae.
GGAGUUGUGGCUCAGUGGUAGAGCACUUGCCUAAUGUGUGUGGGGCACUGGGUUCGAUCCCCAGCACCA